GUCGCUGGCAACUGCUGACUGUUUAUCAACAUUUGCAUCGCUUGUCAAGAAAAGUUCCCGAUAUGCACGUUUGUAGUGCCUGCUUAAAAUGCUGCGGUGCUCAAAAUUGGCUUGCUGCUCCUUUNNNNNUCCGUUCUCACAAUCUGCACCAUACAUGUUACUCAAGAUUGGACCAGCCUUGACAACAUAUUGAGGUAGCUGUUUAAAGAAUUUUAUAAUGCUGCAAGAUGUUAUAUCAUAAACUACAUUAAAGCUAGAAGAUCAUGCACUGUAGCUUGAACAGUAAAGUUCCUGAAAUGAAC
This 302-nucleotide unclassified non-coding RNA is filed under the name Hevea brasiliensis (rubber tree). The record is from RNAcentral. Lineage: Eukaryota; Viridiplantae; Streptophyta; Magnoliopsida; Malpighiales; Euphorbiaceae.